GAGGUAAUAGCUCAGUUGGUUAGAGCGUCGGAUUGUGGUUCCGAAGGUCGUGGGUUCGACCCCCAUUUAUCUCCCA
This 76-nucleotide transfer RNA is filed under the name Taibaiella soli. RNAcentral's name for it is "tRNA-His". It matches the Rfam family "tRNA". Rfam says of the family: Transfer RNA (tRNA) molecules are approximately 80 nucleotides in length. The record is from RNAcentral. Lineage: Bacteria; Pseudomonadati; Bacteroidota; Chitinophagia; Chitinophagales; Chitinophagaceae.